Molecule: ribosomal RNA, 457 nt
Filed under: Staphylococcus haemolyticus
Lineage: Bacteria; Bacillati; Bacillota; Bacilli; Caryophanales; Staphylococcaceae
Description: bacterial SSU rRNA
Rfam family: Bacterial small subunit ribosomal RNA
Source: RNAcentral
GUCGAGCGAACGGACGAGAAGCUUGCUUCUCUGAUGUUAGCGGCGGACGGGUGAGUAACACGUGGAUAACCUACCUAUAAGACUGGGAUAACUUCGGGAAACCGGAGCUAAUACCGGAUAAUAUUUUGAACCGCAUGGUUCAAAAGUGAAAGACGGUCUUGCUGUCACUUAUAGAUGGAUCCGCGCUGCAUUAGCUAGUUGGUAAGGUAACGGCUUACCAAGGCAACGAUGCAUAGCCGACCUGAGAGGGUGAUCGGCCACACUGGAACUGAGACACGGUCCAGACUCCUACGGGAGGCAGCAGUAGGGAAUCUUCCGCAAUGGGCGAAAGCCUGACGGAGCAACGCCGCGUGAGUGAUGAAGGGCUUCGGAUCCUAAAACUCUGUUAUUAGGGAAGAACAUAUGUGUUAGUAACUGGGCACAUUUUGACCGGACCUGAUCAAAAAGCCACCGCUAA